UACGAAGGGGGCUAGCGUUGCUCGGAAUCACUGGGCGUAAAGGGUGCGUAGGCGGGUCUUUAAGUCAGGGGUGAAAUCCUGGAGCUCAACUCCAGAACUGCCUUUGAUACUGAAGAUCUUGAGUCCGGGAGAGGUGAGUGGAACUGCGAGUGUAGAGGUGAAAUUCAUAGAUAUUCGCAAGAACACCAGUGGCGAAGGCGGCUCACUGGCCCGGUACUGACGCUGAGGCACGAAAGCGUGGGGAGCAAACAGG
Molecule: ribosomal RNA, 253 nt
Filed under: uncultured bacterium
Lineage: Bacteria
Description: partial 16S ribosomal RNA
Rfam family: Bacterial small subunit ribosomal RNA
Source: RNAcentral